Molecule: ribosomal RNA, 260 nt
Filed under: uncultured bacterium
Lineage: Bacteria
Description: partial 16S ribosomal RNA
Rfam family: Bacterial small subunit ribosomal RNA
Source: RNAcentral
CGAGUGGCGAACGGGUGAGUAAUACAUCGGAACGUGUCCGCUCGUGGGGGACAACCAGCCGAAAGGUGGCUAAUACCGCAUGAGUUCUACGGAAGAAAGAGGGGGACCCGCAAGGGCCUCUCGCGAGCGGAGCGGCCGAUGACUGAUUAGCCGGUUGGUGAGGUAACGGCUCACCAAAGCAACGAUCAGUAGCUGGUCUGAGAGGACGACCAGCCACACUGGGACUGAGACACGGCCCAGACUCCUACGGGAGGCAGCAG